CAAAGGCCUUGUUGAUGAAGGUACAACAAGCUGGGGAGGCUUUGGCAUUUCUGCACAAUGCUGUUCCCUGCCUGUCACUCCAGACUCAGAUUCAGAAAGAAGCAAAGCAAGCUAGAGGAAAACUGGAUGUCCAGUAUCCAAAACUCCGUGUUACAGUGGAUCUUCUCCUCUGAUCCGAAAAGCUUCACAGGCCAAAAGAGAAUUGAGAUGAAGAAGGCAAGAGAGAAUGCAGACCAAGACUUCCAAUUCCCCCCCGUAUGAGGUGAAGAAGAACACUGCAGCCAGCUGAAGCCGUAUCGGACACAUGCUUCUGUUCUGCUCGGAAGUAAACCAGAGCGAUUCCACGGUGUACUUUAGACAGAUUUCCUCUGGACUCAGCAUCGCCAAGGGAUAUUUCA
Anas platyrhynchos (mallard) is the source of this 398-nucleotide non-coding RNA. The record is from RefSeq and is a predicted model, not a curated record. Lineage: Eukaryota; Metazoa; Chordata; Aves; Anseriformes; Anatidae.